Molecule: ribosomal RNA, 1420 nt
Filed under: uncultured bacterium
Lineage: Bacteria
Description: bacterial SSU rRNA
Rfam family: Bacterial small subunit ribosomal RNA
Source: RNAcentral
GAGUUUGAUCCUGGCUCAGGGUGAACGCUGGCGGCGUGGAUAAGGCAUGCAAGUCGAACGGGUUUAGACCCGUGGCAGACGAGGUAGUAACGCGUAGGAACGUACCCCAUAGUCAGGGAUAUGCUAUCGAAAGGUAGUGCAACACCUGAUGGUCCCGCAAGGGUAAAGAUUUAUCGCUAUGGGAGCGGCCUGCGUAAUAUCAGCUUGUUGGUAAGGUAAUGGCUUACCAAGGCUACGACGUUUAGGGGAGGUGAGAGCCUGACCCCCACCGAUGGGACUGAGACACGGCCCAUACUCCUACGGGAGGCCGCAGUCGAGAAUCUUCCGCAAUGGACGAAAGUCUGACGGAGCGACGCCGCGUGGUGGAUGAAGUCUUUAGGGACGUAAACACCUUUUAUGAGGGAUGAAGUUUAUUGACAGUACCUCAUGAAUAAGGGGCUCCUAAUUCUGUGCCAGCAGGAGCGGUAAUACAGAAGCCCCAAGCGUUACCCGGAAUCACUGGGCGUAAAGGAUACGUAGGCGGCUAUAUUAGUCUCUCGUAAAAUCUCCAGGCUUAACCUGGAAUCGGCGGGAGAAACGGUAUAGCUAGAGGAUAUGAGAGGUUGAGGGAACUCACGGUGUAGGGGUGAAAUCCGUUGAUAUCGUGGAGGAACACCAAAUGCGAAGGCACUCAACUGGCAUACUCCUGACGCUGAGGUAUGAAAGCCAGGGUAACGAAUGGGAUUAGAUACCCCAGUAGUCCUGGCCCUAAACGCUGCUCGCUCGCUCUAGGGAGUAUCGACCCUUUCUGGGGCUAAGCUAACGCGGUAAGCGAGCCGCCUGGGUAGUACGAUCGCAAGAUUAAAACUCAAAGGAAUAGACGGGGACUCGCACAAGCGGUGGAUCAUGCGGCUUAAUUCGUCACUAAGCGAAGAACCUUACCAAGAUUAGAAACUCAGCUGCACGCUCCCAGAAACGGGAGAAGCCUUCGAGGGUGCUGAGCAGGUGAUGCAUGGCCGUCGUCAGUUCGUGGUUUGAACUGUUCCCUUAAGUGGGGUAACGAACGCAACCCUCAUUGCCUGUUAUAUGUGUCAGGCGAGACUGCUCCCUCACGGGAGAGGAAGGUGGGGAUGACGCCAGGUCAGCAUGUCCCUAGAUAUCUUGGGCUGCACGCGUGAUACAAUGGCUGGUACAGUGAGAUGCAAUGGGGUGACCCGGAGCAAAUCUAGAAAACCAGUCUCAAUCCGGAUUGAAGUCUGAAACUCGACUUCAUGAAGUUGGAAUCGCUAGUAAUCGUGGAUCAGCAACGCCACGGUGAAUACGUUCUCGAGUCUUGUACUCACCGCCCGUCAAGUCAAGGGAGUUGGGGGUACCCGACGUCCGUGUUUAUCACGGCCUAAGGUAAAUUCAAUAACAAGGACUAAGUCGUAACAAGGUAACC